This 497-nucleotide ribosomal RNA is filed under the name uncultured bacterium. RNAcentral's name for it is "partial 16S ribosomal RNA". It matches the Rfam family "Bacterial small subunit ribosomal RNA", at positions 28 to 507 of the family's 1533-position model. The record is from RNAcentral.
GACGAACGCUGGCGGCGUGCCUAAUACAUGCAAGUUGAGCGAUGAAGAUUGGUGCUUGCACCAAUUUGAAGAGCAGCGCACGGGUGAGUAACGCGUGGGGAAUCUGCCUUUGAGCGGGGGACAACAUUUGGAAACGAAUGCUAAUACCGCAUAACAACUUUAAACAUACGUUUUAAGUUUGAAAGAUGCAAUUGCAUCACUCAAAGAUGAUCCCGCGUUGUAUUAGCUAGUUGGUGAGGUAAAGGCUCACCAAGGCGAUGAUACAUAGCCGACCUGAGAGGGUGAUCGGCCACAUUGGGACUGAGACACGGCCCAAACUCCUACGGGAGGCAGCAGUAGGGAAUCGUCGGAAAUGGACGAAAGUCUGACCGAGCAACGCCGCGUGAGUGAAGAAGGGUUUCGGAUCGUAAAACUCUGUUGGUAGAGAAGAACGUUGGUGAGAGUGGAAAGCUCAUCAAGUGACGGUAACUACCCAGAAAGGGACGGCUAACUACGUG